UGGGGAAUUUUGCACAAUGGGGGAAACCCUGAUGCAGCGACGCCGCGUGAUUUAGAAGGCCUUCGGGUUGUAAAAAUCUUUUUUACGGGAUGAAAAUGACAGUACCGUAAGAAUAAGGUCCGGCUAAAUACGUGCCAGCAGCCGCGGUAAUACGUAUGGACCGAGCGUUGUCCGGAAUCAUUGGGCGUAAAGGGUACGUAGGCGGCCUAGUAAGUUAGAAGUGAAAUAAUAUAGCUCAACUAUAUAAAGCUUUUAAAACUGCUAGGCUUGAGAGAUGGAAGGGAAAGUGGAAUUCCUAGUGUAGCGGUGAAAUGCGCAGAUAGUAGGAAGAAUACCGGUGGCGAAGGCGACUUUCUGGUCAUCAUCUGACGCUGAGGUACGAAAGCGUGGGUAGCAAACAGG
RNAcentral lists this ribosomal RNA (402 nucleotides) under bacterium. RNAcentral describes it as "partial 16S ribosomal RNA". It matches the Rfam family "Bacterial small subunit ribosomal RNA", at positions 355 to 776 of the family's 1533-position model. The record is from RNAcentral.